AUCCAGUUGACGAGUCCUAAACAGGACGAAACGCGCGUCCUGGAU
Molecule: non-coding RNA, 45 nt
Filed under: Schistosoma margrebowiei
Lineage: Eukaryota; Metazoa; Platyhelminthes; Trematoda; Strigeidida; Schistosomatidae
Source: RNAcentral